Molecule: ribosomal RNA, 406 nt
Filed under: uncultured bacterium
Lineage: Bacteria
Description: partial 16S ribosomal RNA
Rfam family: Bacterial small subunit ribosomal RNA
Source: RNAcentral
AUUGAACGCUGGCGGCAGGCCUAACACAUGCAAGUCGAACGAGUGGCGGACGGGUGAGUCAUGUCUGGGACACAGCCUGAUGGAGGGGGCUACCUACGGGAACCGGUAGCUAAUACCGCAUACCUUCCGAUGUGCCCAGAUGGGAUUAGCUAGUUGGUGGGGUAACGGCUCACCAAGGCGACGAUCCCUAGCUGGUCUGAGAGGAUGACCAGCCACACUGGAACUGAGACACGGUCCAGACUCCUACGGGAGGCAGCAGUGGGGAAUAUUGCACAAUGGGCGCAAGCCUGAUGCAGCCAUGCCGCGUGUAUGAAGAAGGCCUUCGGGUUGUAAAGGACUUUCAGCGGGGAGGCGUUACCCGAAGAAGAAGCACCGGCUAACUCCGUGCCAGCAGCCGCGGUAAUUC